UGGGGAAUAUUGGACAAUGGGCGAAAGCCUGAUCCAGCCAUGCCGCGUGUGUGAAGCAGGUCUUCGGAUUGUAAAGCACUUUAAGUUGGGAGGAAGGGCAGUAAGCGAAUACCUUGCUGUUUUGACGUUACCGACAGAAUAAGCACCGGCUAACUCUGUGCCAGCAGCCGCGGUAAUACAGAGGGUGCAAGCGUUAAUCGGAAUUACUGGGCGUAAAGCGCGCGUAGGUGGUUCGUUAAGUUGAAUGUGAAAGCCCCGGGCUCAACCUGGGAACUGCAUCCAAAACUGGCGAGCUAGAGUAGGGCAGAGGGUGGUGGAAUUUCCUGUGUAGCGGUGAAAUGCGUAGAUAUAGGAAGGAACACCAGUGGCGAAGGCGACCACCUGGGCUCAUACUGACACUGAGGUGCGAAAGCGUGGGGGGCAAACAGG
This 429-nucleotide ribosomal RNA is filed under the name Pseudomonadota bacterium. RNAcentral describes it as "Proteobacteria bacterium partial 16S ribosomal RNA". It matches the Rfam family "Bacterial small subunit ribosomal RNA", at positions 355 to 776 of the family's 1533-position model. The record is from RNAcentral. Lineage: Bacteria; Pseudomonadati; Pseudomonadota.